CCGGUUUGGCACCUCGAUGUCGGCUCAUCGCAUCCUGGGGCUGGAGAAGGUCCCAAGGGUCCGGCUGUUCGCCGGUUAAAGCGGUACGCGAGCUGGGUUCAGAACGUCGUGAGACAGUUCGGUCCUUAUCCACUGUGGGCGAAGGAAACUUGAGGGGUUCAUUCCUUAGUACGAGAGGACCGGGAAUGACGCACUUCUGGUGUGGCAGUUGUUCCGUCAGGGGCAACGCUGCGUAGCCAUGUGCGGAAGGGAUAAGCGCUGAAAGCAUCUAAGUGCCAAGCCCAUCCCAAGAUAAUGUUUCCCGGCCGCAAGGCCCUAAAGACUCCGGGUAGACUACCCGGUUGAUAGGUCAGGCGUGUAAGCGCUGUAAGGCGCUCAGCGGACUGAUACUAAUAUGUCGUGAGGCUUGAUCGU
This 414-nucleotide ribosomal RNA is filed under the name Verrucomicrobiales bacterium. RNAcentral's name for it is "partial 23S ribosomal RNA". It matches the Rfam family "Bacterial large subunit ribosomal RNA", at positions 2513 to 2925 of the family's 2925-position model. Lineage: Bacteria; Pseudomonadati; Verrucomicrobiota; Verrucomicrobiia; Verrucomicrobiales. The record is from RNAcentral.